GAUGAACGCUAGCGGCAGGCUUAACACAUGCAAGUCGAGGGGUAUGGUUCUUCGGAACUAGAGACCGGCGCACGGGUGCGUAACGCGUAUGCAAUCUACCUUUUACAGAGGGAUAGCCCAGAGAAAUUUGGAUUAAUACCUCAUAGUAUUACGACUCGGCAUCGAGAUGUAAUUAAAGUCACAACGGUAAAAGAUGAGCAUGCGUCCCAUUAGCUAGUUGGUAAGGUAACGGCUUACCAAGGCUACGAUGGGUAGGGGUCCUGAGAGGGAGAUCCCCCACACUGGUACUGAGACACGGACCAGACUCCUACGGGAGGCAGCAGUGAGGAAUAUUGGACAAUGGGCGCACGCCUGAUCCAGCCAUGCCGCGUGCAGGAUGACGGUCCUAUGGAUUGUAAACUGCUUUUAUACGAGAAGAAACACUCCGACGUGUCGGAGCUUGACGGUAUCGUAAGAAUAAGGAUCGGCUAACUCCGUGC
RNAcentral lists this ribosomal RNA (479 nucleotides) under uncultured bacterium. RNAcentral describes it as "bacterial SSU rRNA". It matches the Rfam family "Bacterial small subunit ribosomal RNA", at positions 28 to 508 of the family's 1533-position model. The record is from RNAcentral.